CGCUGGAUUCACGCAGCUACGUUCCCUCUGGGUCCUGCAGCCAGACUGGGCAUGUGCCGCCGCCGGGUCAGGGUCUGCAGUUAAGGACAGAGCUGGCUUUAAAGGAACUCUCUGUUUCUCUUGUCUUCCGGGUGGUCCCCAGCAAAGGAUGCAAAAAUCUGCACCUCCGACCCCUCGCCCCCGGCUCAGACCCGCAGAAAUGGGUCAGGACCUGACUGAGCAUGCUCUGGGCAGUGCCAGACUGCCGCACGCGGCUGCCUCUGGAUGCCCAGGAUUGAUGUAGCCGUGCUGGUUCAUCACGACAUCGAAGAGCUCUCAUGCUUACGUACGUUGGAGGCAAGUGUGAAGAAUUGGCUUUUAAUCCUGUAUCACUGAAGGCUGAAAUGGAGAUUUUACAAGCUUGAGCUUAAUAAACUUGAGAACCCCAGGAGCGCCUUGCAUUGAGCCUAGCAGGUGCUUGGAAUAGUUGUGUGUUCGGAGGAGGAAGAUGGGCGGGUCAUCUUACCUGGUGAGAUUUGUUGCCCCAGUGAGGAAAUUUCCUGAGUCAAGUUGAGUGAGCUUCCUGCCGCGAGUUUGGCUUCUGGUACUUAGAAACACCAUCUUUAGGGGAAGUUCACUGCUGGGAAUAAGAUUGCCUAAAUACUUCCUCCUAGAGACAGAACUUCUACUGGGGUCCCACGCAUCCCUGAGGAGCUUUGAAAUUCAUUUUUUGCUGCUGCUUCUGGCUACUGCUCCGGAACUUGGUUAGGAACUUGGCCAUCGUCCUUAAAUAUCCACAGUCCUUCUACCCAUCUGGAACUUUCUACUCGUUCAGCGUCUACACAGGAGCUAAGUGUCUUCUACCUGUUGUUCUCAUCCUUCUCUUUCAAGUUCUUGGCCCAUACUACCCACUUCUGGGUAUUCGUCGCCUGGCUCCUUUCCAGCUUCUCUCCCGAUACCUCUCACCCUUUGGAUGGUCUUCAGUACAAAAAUGACAUUUAAAUGGAGGAUGGGAAUAGCCGGGCUAGCAUUCCUGCACUCUUUCCAGUUCUAAUUGGUUACCGUCCGUGCCUGGCGAUAGUAAAGCAGCUGUGUGAGCAUCAGCACCCUUCUGGAAUGAGCACGGGAGGAUGGAGAGUACCCACACAGGAGUAACUGCACAGGCCUUGCAUCGCGCCAGCUCUCGAGACCACAGAACUCCACAGGCCUUGCAUCGUGCCAGCUCUCCGUGAGACCACAGGAGGACCCCACUACUUUGUGUCAACCCUGAGGCAGACCUGCUCCUGAUUUCUGUGAACACAUUCCUCUGUCUGAGCGUCUUGUUUCCAAAUAAGCCAUUUAUUUUGAUGUCCACAGGAGAGAUCUGGAGAAGUGGACAGCUAUGGCAAGGUGGGGGUUGUGUGUUCAUUUGUUGACCAAGAGGGAUUUUACUGGGUUAUUUUUCAGCAACUCUCUUAACUUGGGGGGGGGGGGAGCGGGCCUGUGGGGCCGAGGAAGUCUGGACUUCACCUCCUCCUUGAGAAAGGAAAAGGAGAGGCCUGUGACUUGCCACUAGUUUCCUCCUAGUCCCAGGACUCUGAAAGGACAUGAUUAGGACGGGGAGCGAGAAGGAAUGGAAGGAAACCUACUUCCUCUGUCAUCUUUGCCUGCAGAGCAUGAAGCGCCUUGGGGGGCCAAGGCAGCAGUGGGGAAGGCCACCUUCCUUACUGUGGGUUUAGGUGAAGCCCGGAUGCUGGUCGCAUAGAGGCUUGCACGUGUGUGGUCUCUCCUUAGCCUGCUGCAGAGCUCAGGGAAGCGGCUGCUGUGUUGCUACUCCCAGGAGGCAGAAACCUGGCGGGAAGGGUGGCAGCUCUCCUGGAGACCACACAAAACCCUUCUUCUCAAAUGGUUUGUCAGCCGAACGUGAAAGGCCACCCUUCACUCCCCCCCACCCCCCUCAGGGCUUCAUUCCAGACGAUGACUCAAAUUUGCUGUUAAAAUUACUCACUGAAUGACUUUCCCAACAAUGACUCAGGAUAUGAAAUAUUGGCAGGAGAAGGGAUAAAUCCAGUAAUCCCUCCCGCGUGCAGGGGUGAGGCUUCCUGAUGGUGAAUGGGGACCUGCAGGGAAGGUUAGGAGAGGCCAAUGAGGGGUAGAUGGGGUGAGUCUGAGAUGGGACCCUUUCCUAAAACGGUGCCGUGGGGUCAGAGCAAUAGCAUCGCAGGCAGGGAGCUCGCCUGGCACACAGCUUCCCUGGGUUUGAUCCCUAGCAUCCCAUAUGAUCCCCUGAGCCUGUUAGGAGUAAACCCUGAGCCUCGUCAUCCCCUCCAAAGAGAAUAAAACAGAACAAAAACUUGCCUUUGCAGGUGCUUCUCCCUUGGAUUCUGGAAGGGUUGUGUCUUGCGUUUAGCUGGAAUUUGGUUCUCCUACUUUAUCACUGUCUCCGGCAAGAAGGAGAGCUUAGCCUCCGUGUUCCAGCCAUCAGAUGGAAUGGAACGAGAGUGGGAGCCCAUGUGAUCAAAUGGGCAAACGAGUCACUAGCAGACAUGUGGAGAACACACAGCCAACAUGUUUUGCAGGAGUGGAGCCCUCAAGCACAAUGCUUUGUCUUGAGACUUGACAUGGAUUUCACUGUCCUUGUUGGAGGAAUCCCACUCUGCUGCAUGACAGGAAAUCCAAGAUAGUAUCAGCACGCUGGGAGGUGGGGCCAGAGCAAUAGGAUAAUUAGUAGGACGUUCUACUGGUUCAAUCCCCCUCAUCCCAUACAGUCAUCCCUAGUGCUGCUGGGAGUGUUGAGUGAUUCCUGAGUGCAGAGCCUGGAAUAAAGCCCUGAGCAACACUGUGUGUGGCUCAAAAACUAAAACAAACAAAAAAAUUGGGCCGUUAGUCUCUGUGCUAUUGAUUUCUGUGCCUCUCUCCUUACUGCAUAGGUAUUUGUUAGAAUUCAAAGAAGACUCUUUGGGGAGGGGAGGGCACUUCACCAAGGCUCACUCUGGCAGUGCUCAGAGGCUUGCAGUGCUGGGGACUGAACCUAGGGGUCAUGCAUUCCAGGCCUACACUCUAAUCCUGAGAGCCAACACCUUGACUCUGUAUUGUUUCUUUUUAUUAAGUAUUUAGGUUCCAGGGGCCACACUUAGUGAUGCUCAGGGCCCAUUCCUGGUGGGGCUCAGAGGACCAUAUGGGAUGCUGGGGGUUGAACCUGGCUUGGCCACAUGGAGGGCAAGCCCCCUCCUCAAUCUACUAUUGCUCCAGCCCCUGUACCUUUAUACUGUGUAUACGUGUGACAGCAAAAAAGUCCGUAUGGUUCUAGGUCUUGGUAAGGGAGCAUCCCAUGAGGGUGAAGACCAGAAAGAAGUUCUCUCAUGGACUCACAGAAGGAAGCGUGGCUAUGCUGUGACCCAGCAGUCAUGGCAGAUCUGGGUUUGUCGUGUAGGUCUGGAAGGUCUCUGGAAGGCUCACAGACCUUGACUGACAUGCACGUGCAGUUUCCUCUCUGAGCUGGGACUCUGCCGUCCAACACCCUGGCCCUUUCCUGCAGGCUCUGAACCUCCUCAGUGAGUUGUCACCAGAGGUAAGGACUGAGAGGGGACUAAGAUUUGCCUCAGAUGAUGUCACAAUUAUGCCCUGAGUCAAUGGAGGAAGGAAGUUUCCCAACAAAGGGAGAUUCUUCCUCCCCAUCACAAAAGACAAAGUCCAAAUGCCCUUGCAGGCUGGGCCUCGUCCUCCUGUUCCUGCAAAAAAUACAGGGAGCCCAGGCACAAAGUGUGUGACUGUGUGUCUGUCAUGGAUGUGUGCGCUUGUGAGUCUCAUGGACAGUGUGGAGGUUAAGACCCAAUUAAUUAUCCGGCAGAGGGAACAGAUUUCCUCAUUUGGACCACACCUGCUUCCCUGGCAUGUGCCAACAGAACCUCUCUUUGGUUUUCUUUUUAGUCGCAUCUCAAAUGACUUUAAAUUGUUAAGACAUUUAAAUUGUAAAAUGAUGGGGCUAGAGCAUUAGUACAGUCCGGUGGGGUGUUUUCCUUGCACGCGUCCGACCCUGGUUCGAUUCCCAGCAUCCCAUAUGGUCCUCUGAGCACCACCAGGGGUGAUUCCUGAGUGCAGAGCCAGGAGUAACCCUUGUGCAUUGCCAGGUGUGAAAAAAAAAAUUGUAAAAUGAUGCCCAUACAUUUCAUCAAACUGGAGCACUGUCAUCCAGUUGUUUAUUGAUUUGCUCUAGUGGGCACCAGUAAUGUCUCCACUGUGAGACUUGUUGCUGGUUUUGGCAUAUCCAAUAAGCCAUGGGUAUCUUGCCAGGCUCUCCCGUGUAGGCAGGAUACUCUCGGUAGCUUGCCAGGCUCUCUGAGAGGGACGGAGGUAUUUGAACCCUGGUCGGCUGUGUGUGCAAGGCAAACUCCCUACCCACUGUGCUAUGGCUCCAGCCCCAAUGACAUGGAGUUUCUUAAAGGAAAGCGUUCAGAAAUAGCAAGACCACCAAUUAUCUGUUCAGUAUAAAACAAAACACUGUCAGGCUUUGGCCUUGGGCUCUGUGAUACUGAGUCUGCUUUUCUUUCUGAUGGUGAGUUUCUCAUCUGCUCCUAGCACGAUCCUCCCUGCUCUGAGCGAGCUGGAACCAAGGCUAAGCUGUGAGCCAACCCAGGGCAAAUGCACGCAUG
Long non-coding RNA from Sorex araneus (European shrew), 4610 nucleotides. RefSeq lists it as uncharacterized. The transcript is spliced from 3 exons. The record is from RefSeq and is a predicted model, not a curated record. NCBI's taxonomy places the organism in Eukaryota, Metazoa, Chordata, Mammalia, Eulipotyphla, Soricidae.